GUGGUCAAGCUAAUAAGGGCUCAUGGUGGAUACCUAGGCACACAGAGGCGAAGAAGGACGUGGUUACCUGCGAAAAGUUCCGGGGAGUUGGAAGCAAACAGAGAGCCGGAAAUAUCCGAAUGGGGCAACCCUGAAAACUGCCUGUUGAAUAUAUAGACAGGAAAGAGCGAACCUGGCGAAUUGAAACAUCUUAGUAGCCAGAGGAAAAGAAAUCAAAAGAGAUUCCCCGAGUAGCGGUGAGCGAAAGGGGAAGAGCCUAAACCAAGGGGUAUACCUCUUGGGGUAGUGGGACAGCAACAUCGAAUCCAGAGACUAGACGAAGCAGCUAAAUACUGCACCAGAGGGGGUGAAAGUCCUGUAGUCGAAAGUCAAAGGAUAGAAGCUGAAUCCCGAGUAGUACGGGGCACGAGAAAUCCCGUAUGAAUCAGCGAGGACCAUCUCGUAAGGCUAAAUACUACUGUGUGACCGAUAGAGAACAAGUACCGCGAGGGAAAGGUGAAAAGAACCCCGGGAGGGGAGUGAAAAAGAACAUGAAACCGUGAGCUUACAAGCAGUGGGAGUCCGAUUAAACGGAUGACCGCGUGCCUGUUGAAGAAUGAGCCGGCGACUUAUAGGUACUGGUAGGUUAAAGCGGGAAUGCUGGAGCCAAAGGGAAACCGAGUCUGAAAAGGGCGCUAAUCAGUAUUUAUAGACCCGAACCCUGGUGAUCUAACCAUGGCCAGGAUGAAGCUUGGGUAAAACCAAGUGGAGGUCCGAACCGACCGAUGUUGAAAAAUCGGCGGAUGAGCGGUGGUUAGGGGUGAAAUGCCAAUCGAACCA
Molecule: ribosomal RNA, 819 nt
Filed under: Cylindrospermopsis raciborskii S10
Lineage: Bacteria; Bacillati; Cyanobacteriota; Cyanophyceae; Nostocales; Aphanizomenonaceae
Description: bacterial LSU rRNA
Rfam family: Bacterial large subunit ribosomal RNA
Source: RNAcentral